This 520-nucleotide ribosomal RNA is filed under the name Eucnemidae sp. UPOL RK0341. RNAcentral describes it as "partial 16S ribosomal RNA". Lineage: Eukaryota; Metazoa; Arthropoda; Insecta; Coleoptera; Eucnemidae. The record is from RNAcentral.
CAUGUCUUUUUGUUUAUUAUAUAAAGUUUGAUCUGCCCUAUGAAACAUUUUAAAUGGCCGCAGUAUAUUGACUGUGCAAAGGUAGCGUGAUAAUUAGUUUUUUUAUUGAAAGCUGGAAUGAAUGAUUUGACGAGAAAAUUACUUUCUUAAGUUAAAUAUUUAAAUUUUAUUUUUGAUUAAAAAAGAUCAAAUGAAUUUAAGGGACGAGAAGACCCUAUAGAGUUUAAUAAUUUAUUUUAAUUUUAUUUAUAGGAUAUAAUAUUUUUUAAUUGGAGAAUUAUUUGGUUGGGGUGAUUAAAAGAUUAAUUAAACUCUUUUAUUAAGAACAUAUAUUUAUGAUUAUUUUGAUCAAUUUACAUUAUUUAAAGAAAAAAUUACCUUAGGGAUAACAGCAUAAUUUUUUAUUAAGUUCUUAUUGUAAUAAAUGAUUGUGACCUCGAUGUUGGAUUAAAAUGUUAAAUAGGUGUAGAAGCUUAUUUGGUAAGUCUGUUCGACUUUAAAAAUUUUACAUGAUCUGAGU